CCUUUCUUCUAUCUUCCGUCGCUGUAGCCUUUUUCUUCUUCCUCGUGCCGGCGCAGGCGCAGCUCAUUCCAGCUCUCCUCCCGUCUCCGCGCGGUGUUCCCGCUGCCGCUCCCGCGUUAACCCCGCGUCUCCAUUGCCCUGACCUGACCCUUCCCAUCUGGCGCUACCUCCAUUGCCUGCGACCGGCGGCGUCCCCGCCACCUCGUCGCCCCGCCCCAUGUCCACCGCCGCCACCAAGCGGGCAUGCCUCCCACGGAAAGUUACCAUGGAGAGGCUGCAACUGUAAAGGGAUUGCAUCGUCUUUGAUUAAAGCAAAGCGGCCAUCCAUCUGAUCUGUCAGUGUCUAUUUGAGAUUAGACUCCUUCCCUUGUCUUGUUGUUGCCCAAUCGCAGCUAAAACCUAGUCCCAUCCCUGCCAAGAUCGCCAUGGCCUCCGCCGACAACGUCCUCCUCCUCGUGCACCAGCUCCCCAUCGAUAUGGAGGGGCCCGACGAGGGUCGCCUGGCCCACCUCCUCCCCCCACUCCACCGCUCCCCUCCUCCGCCCCCUCCUCCGCCGUUCCGCCCGCCUCCCCCUCCCCAAGCCGCCGAGCCCCGCCUCUCUUUCCGCGGCUGGCUCGGCGCCCCGCGCCACUGGGACCUCUGGGUCGCCAAGCUCCGCCCCCUACACUCCCGCCUCUGGCGCCGCCUCGGCAUCCACGAUGCCGUCCUCGCCUCCACCUACAGGUUCAAGCGCGACGCCUCCGCCGUCCUCCACCUCGCCUCCUUCUGGUCCCCCACCACCAGCACCUUCACCUUCCCCUGGGCCGAGGCCACCCUCACCCUCCAGGACGUCGCCCUCCUCGCCGGAUUCCCCACCCACGGCGCCCCCGUCCCCGCGCCGCUCCCGCCCGAAUGGCGCCCCGACGAGGCCGCCCUCAACGGGGUGCGCCUCGGAUUCAACCGCAGCGCCUGCAAGAAGGCGCACCACUCCGCAUGGGUCAAGCACUUCCUCACCGAUCACAACAAUGACGCCGUCCUGGAGCACGCCGCCUUCCUCGCGCUCUGGCUCACGCGCUUCGUGCUCCCGGGCCACCCCGAGUCCACCAUGCGCCAGUCCGUCUUCCCCAUCGCCGUCCGCCUUGCGCGCGGCGACCGCGUCGCCCUCGCCCCCGCCGUGCUCGCCUCCCUCUACCGUGACCUGCGCGACAUCAAGGCCUUCCUCGUCGCUGCGGGUGCCGCCGCCGCCAGCGGCAACGCCGAUAUGCUGUGCUCCUUAUCCCUCUACGCGCCCCUCUACAUUCUCCAGCUCUGGAUGUGGGAGCGCUUUCCUUCUCUCAGUCCCGCAAGGAAUAACCCAGCUGUGAGCAAUGGCGAGCCGAUGGCCGCUCGGUGGCAUGAUCUAAGCAGCAAGGUGAACCCGACGCUGAUACGCGAGGCCCUCAGUUCAGGGGACAACUUUGUGUGGCAGCCUUAUGCCACCUCUGUGAUGAAGCACACCGGGUGGGUUCGCAGCAGUGAUCUCGCCGGGAAUGAUGAACUGAGAUCCCUCGCGCAUUGCUUGCGGCCUUGUGAGCUUGUGGGGAUGGAUUGCAUCGAGCACUACCUCCCACACCGCGUUGCAAGGCAGUUUGGACUGGACCAAGAUGUGCCCGGGGAUGUUCGCCGUGCCAAUCAGGAUUGGGCGGUUGCUUGGCAGACCUAUGAAUUGGACGGGAAGAAUGUGGCGUUCUUCAUCCCUCAGUCUGAACCUGGGAUCACAGCGCGGUACGCACAGUGGUGGAGGCAGCAAUUACCACCUUCUCAUCUUCAUGCUGAGGCAGCAAGCAUUCCAGUGGAGUGGAAGACUUCCAAGCGCAAGGUGAAAAAGACGCCAGCGGCCAUGGAAGCUGAGGCUGAGAAGGAGCGGAAGAUGAAGAAGGCUCGCGUCCCACCUAGUGACAAAAAGCGCAAGCUUGAAGAAUUGUAUGAUGCAAAGUUGUCGGAUUGGCUUGCAACUACAAGGAAUGGGAUCAGUGACACUGCUGGUGGCAGCUUCACAAGGGGAUCCUUACCAAAAUAUGACCUAGGAUCAGAUGACGCCUUGUUGCCUAAUGUUGGAGCUAGCAAUGAUGAUGUUGUGCUACUUAUGCCAAGGAUGCAGACUACAACUCCUGCUGCGAUGGCAUUGAGGGAUAGUGAUAUGAGCCCGGCUCUAGGAGAGAGAGGAAACUUCAUAGUUGAUAAGCCUCCAUAUAUCCCCAGUGAACCUGAAGGACAUGUUACUGCAACGCUGGAGGAGGAAAAACUUAAUAUUCCUGUGGACAGGUCUCUUAAUAUCACAGAUAGGCCAGAAGGAGCCACUGCGGUAAUGGAGUUGGAGAACGAAGCUAGUAGUGGAUCUGAUAGACCUGAAGAAGUUACUGCUCCAGUCAUAGAAGAGAAAGAAGUUGCCAUAGAGGGAGAUAUUUGCGUUACCGGGAUGUAUCAAUUGGAAAAGACCAUAGCAAUUGUAAAGGAAGCAGAUGACGGUGAUGCAGUUUCAGAAGAAGUUGGAAGACCUGCCGAGGAAGCAAUUAAAGCUGCACCACAGAACCAACAAGAAGUUGAUGCAGGUGUUAUGAACAAUUCCCAUGAUGCACUGGCUUUACCUGAGGAGCCACUUCCAGUUCAGCAAACAAAUAAUGGUGGUGGAUGUAGCGAGGUGUCUUACGUAACGGAAGAUGACAAUGUUGCUGGAGGUUUGGUCACAAAUGAUGGAGAAACUACAUGUCGUGAUUUUGUUGUUCAGGACCAGAGGGAGGUUCCUUGUGUAGAAGAGAUUGGAAGAAGGGUAAACAAUCAAAUGGUUGACAAAGGUAGUGAGGAAAAGCCCCAGGAAGCUCCUCAAAUAGAGAUAGUAGAAUCUGUAGAAGACAUUCUUAUGGGAACAGACAAUGACGGUGAGCAAAAGAUAGUUCAGCUAACAGUGGAGGAAGUAGCAACUUCCAAUUGUAUGGCUGCAACUCCUCUUCAUGUUCUUGAAGCAGAAAAUGCAUUAGUCAAUAAAGAUCUUAAUCUGGCAGACAAACAAGCUGCAGAAGGAGAGGAAGCAGAACAGGAGCAAAUUAAUACUUUGGCAAAGGUAGGUGCAGAGGAGGAGCACAAGGAAAUUUCUGAAGUAGAUCACGCAGACAUGGCAGAUCCUAAGAUGCAUUCACACUUUACUACUGAGAAGCCUGAGAAAGCUGCUGAAAUAGAAUGUGCAGAAAUUGAUGGCACUACAAGACUAACUGGGAGGGAUACUGAUGGGAAGCUUGUAGAUGUUCCUGAAGUUGGGCAUGAAGAAGAAAAUGUUAAGGGGCUGAUAGUGAACGCCAGUGAUGAGAAGCUUGCAGAAGUUUUGCAAGUAUCGCCUGCAGAAGUGGAAGAUGUGAAGGGUUUGAUGAAAGAGGACACUAGCAACAAAUCUAAGGAUGUUCCUGAAUUGGAAAAUACAGGAUCUGAAGGAACUCAUGGUCCAAUGGAGGAGGAUUCUGAUGGUCGGCGAGCGGAAAUUCAUGAUGUCAAUGCAGAACUGGAAAAAGCCAAUGGGCAUGAGAGGGAUGGUGAUAGGCCCAAGGGCAUCCUGCAAGUAGAUCUACUAAGAAGGGAUGAAGACAGGUGGCUGGCGAAGGAAGAAAUUGAAGAAAAUACUACAAAAGUUCCUCAAGUAAAGUAUGAAAAAUUAAGAGUUGAGGCACCAAUAAAAGAAGAUACCAAGGAAAAGCCCCAUGCAGAUGGCAAGGAUCUACCAGAGAAAGACAUAAAUGAGUCCAAAGAGGUUGACGAAUUGAAACAAGGAGAAGGGGAGGGAUGCAAGGUGUUAAUGGAGAAAGACGAGGAGAACUUUUAUGAUGCUCGUGGAGUAGAACAGGCAGAAGAAGGACAACACAAAGCAUUGACAGAGAAAGAUGUACAUAACCAUGUUGAGGAAAUUACUCUAGUGGGGCAGGUGGAUGACCAAAGUGAUAGGCUUACAAGGAUACGUACUGAGGAAAUUCCUGAAGAAACCACUCGAACACAGGAAAGGGAGUUUGAUAAGGAUGUGGUGGAAGAUUCAAAGAAUUCAACCAAUGCUGAGAUGCCAUGUAGUUCAGCUACUGUACAAUUGAAAAGAGAUCAGAUGGAAGUUUCUCAUGAAGGCAUGACAGAGGAGCUAUGCAUUCAGAACGUUGAACUGAUUAAUCAGAGGGAACCAUCAUGUGAUGCAACUGCUAUGGCCAUUGGAGGAGUAUAUGACCACAAAACCUUGGAUAUGCAUGAGGAAGUGGCUCUGAAACAGAAACAGGACCACAGAAUCAUACGCGAGAACAGGGAGACAACAAUAUUGGAAGGCAGUCAUAUGCUAGAUAGUGAAGUGAAAUCUGAUUUGGUUACUCCGAAGGGUGAUGAAACUCAUGCUGCAGGAGGAAUUCAAAACCAGGAAAUUUGGGACGAGAACAAGCAACUAGCAAUGGAGGAAAGACAAGAUCUAGAAACGACAAUUAAAAACAACAAAACGAAUAUGUUGGAUGAUGCAGAUAGUCUUGUUUGUGGUGAAUAUCAAAUUGACUCAACUGUUACGGAUGUUAAUGAGGCCGAGUCUACCGAAGGAAUACAGGACCAAGAACUUUUGGACAAUAAGGAACAACUAGCAAUGGAGGAAAAACAAGAUCUAGGAAGUACAACUGAAAACAACAAAAUGAAUAUGUCAGAAGAUGCAGAUAUUGAUGUUCGUGGUGAAUAUCAAAUUGAUCCAGCUGGUACAGAGGUGAACGAGGUCGAGUCUACCAAAGGAAUACAGAAUCAAGAACUUUCGGACAACAAAGAAGACCAGGUAAUGGAGAAAAGAAUGGACUGUGAAAUAACAGUUGGAAGUGGAAUAUUUGUGGAAGAGUCCUAUAAACUUGGUGGUGGUGGAGUGGUUACCUUCGCGGUUGCUGUGGAUGUUAGUGAUUCAAUGCAAAUCAAGGAAUCUUGCAGCAUGGAGGAGGCAAGGGAGGACAGGCAGAACCAAGGAGUUGAACAUGCGAAUGAGAAGAGGAUUUUGGAAGACACAAGUAUGAUUGAUAGUGGUGAAUUGAAAUCUAUUUCAACUGUUGGGGAGGUUAACAUGGUUGGGUUAAGAGAGGGAACACCGAACCAGUGUGUUUUAAGUGUGGAGAAGGAAGCGGCAGUGCAGGAGAAGCAGGAUCAGGGAAUGGCAGAUGAAAACACAAGCAGAGAUUUGGCUGACAUGGAUGCACUUGAAUGUGGUGGAGUGAAACCUGAUGGAGGGGUGAAAAUGUUUCAUGAGACUAUUCUUACAGUAGAAGCUGUUAAAAUUUGUUCCGAGAACAAGCAAAAGGAAGCAGCCUUUGAAGAGCACAAUAUAACAGAAGUUGAAGGCUCUGAAUCAAAUCAAACUGCAAGAAAGGAGCCUGAAGGAGCUCUUCCUCCGGAGCCUGAAAACUUGGUAGAAGUGAAGCAAGAAAAUUUGGAGAAUGAAACAGAGAUGUCCAUCUGUAGGGAGAAUGAUGAAGCGUCUGGAAAAGAUCAGACCUCAGCAGAGAUUAAGAAUGAUAUUGGAUGGGCUGUAGAAUCAACAAAUAGCUAUGACAAGUUAGCUUCUGAUUCAUUAAACACAGCUUGUCAUGACCCCAUCAAACUUGGCAAGUCAAGUAAUGAAGAGGUUAAGAGAACACGAAACAGCAGGUCUAUGUAUCUAAAAGAUAUUAAAGAAUCCCUGGGAAAAAUUCGUUCUGAACCAUCAAACAGAGUACAGGCAACCAGUGUUGGGUAUUACUCUAAGCAUGCAGUUCAGGAACCAAUUUCAGUUUUCAAGGAUAUCAAAGUUCCUUCGCGUGACAGUGCAAGGGAUUUUGGAAGAGAUUGUGCACCAGAGUUGGUGGUUACAAGUCCACAAGAAGAGACUCCUCGAUGGAAACAAGAACAAUACGCACUUCAAAUUUUAGAAGAUGUGCAAAAUGCUCGAAUUAUUGAGAAAACUAGGAUGGAGAUGGAGAUCAGAAUACUGAAGGCACAAAUUGCUAGCAUGGAGAGACAAGUGAUGAACUUGGAUCACUUCUCUGAGGUGAAGUCCAGAUCAAAAAGGCACUGACCUAUUCAUAGUUUCAACAUGCAAGUGCUAGUUUUGCACAAAAUAUCCAUGUAGAGUUGUACAGCUUUAAUUUGUGAAAUAAACACCACUGCAUGCAAGUUCUCUCUCCUAUCUACUAACUUCUGAAGGUGAUACUUUCAGAGUCUCAACACUGUUCUAUAGUCUGAAUAUACCAGCAGCCAGCCAACUUUAUUUAAGGCCUUAAAACAAAAAGGAGAAAUAUCAAAAAAGGCUCAACCGCUUGUAUCAAUAGAGAUAGAGUGCGUUGAUCAAACAGGCACCACUAUGAGUUAACUUUCAGGAAUUGAAACUAAACAAGGACAGGAGCAGGAGCAGCAACUGCCCGGGCUGCUGGUGAUGAUGCUGCUGGCUUGCCCCGGCCCAUGGUGAACCCGCGUGUCCCGUCGGGCAUCCUUGGGCCCUGGGGAGGCUGCUUGGGGCUCAAUGGGCAUUUCUGGGAUGCCUGACGGGGGCUCAAUGGGCAUUUCUGGGAUGUCUGACGGGGGCUCAACGGAUCAAAAUGGCCGAUCAUGCCGGCAGGAGCAGACUGUGGGCUGUGCGGCGCUGCGAUGUGCAGCUUCCCUCGCCCUCUCGCCCAACCUUUCUUGGUACCAUUUUGGUGAUCCUCUGGCUGUCAGUCAGACAGAAACUUUUGAGUUAACUGAGUAACUGAAUACUGGAUGUUGUCACUAAAAGUUGGGUCAUCAGUUGCUUACAUGAGCCUCAGGUGAGUAGUCUGCUGUGGGGGAGUCGGAUGACAUCUGGGAGUGCGGUGAUUCAUCAUCAGAGCCGACAAAGUGGUCAAAAUCUGGCCGCUUCAGCCUCAUCACUGACUUGGGCUGCGAAAACAUCACGGAAUAGCAUGGAUAAAAAGGUAUGACUAUUUGUUACUGAAUAGAAUUCAUUUCUGUAUAUUACUAAUUUGCAAGGAGAGGGGAGCUUCCCGUACCGAGCGCCUGAGCACUGCACGAACACGGAGGCCUUUCCUCCAGUUCCGUUCAUCAUUUAGCUUCUCCACCUGACAGGAAAAGGUAAAUUAAAUUAGCAUACCUAUGGGUUAACUGUAUCCAAGAGCCAAUGAAAUUUGCAUUCCUGAAAUAAGUGGCGAGUGCUCAGUGGUAACUACUCACUGCUUUCUCAGCUUGCUGUGAGGUCUCGUACUCCACAAGUGCAUGCAUCUUUUAGGGGAAAAAAAUAGAACAGGUAAAAGAGACCUGAAUAUUUGCUAGAAAAAUAUUCACUGUUCUGAAUCUGAUACUUAAUCUGUACAAUCAACAUCUUGUGCUGAUAUUUCAACGCAUUGUGCAUUGAAUAGUUCAGUUGGGGAGAGAAUGUGAAAUACCUUGUUACUUACUAGCGUGUCUGACUUAGAAGCCCUUGCCGAGCUAGGCUCUUGUGGAUGGCAUAUCUUGAUGUUCUUCACACUGAUCAUCAGACAGACAUAAAAGGUUAAUGCACCCAAAUGUAAUGUGUUUUAAUCUGCCACUUUGAGGAAUAGUUUAUCUGUCUGACCUUCCGAUGACACCAAAGAUCUUCUCGAGGCUGUUUCUCGAGGAAUCCUCUGGCAAAUUCUCUGCUAUGAUCAUGCGGGACUGCAAAAACAAGAAUUUCAGUUCUGGAUUGUUAGAUGUGGAGUACUAUAGAGCAGAGAUGAGCACCUUUUAAAGCCACUGACCUGAAGUUCUUCCUUGUGUUUCUCAGUGAAUGGCUGCCUGCGCCGGACUUUCUUGCCGUCAUCACUGACAAUCUGCAGAGGGACACGAGAAUUUCAUGAUCCUACGAGAAGAGUGUUUCAUGUAUUGCAACUAGCAAGGGUUUGAGUAGCAGUGAGUAGCUUACAAGCUUUGUGGAGGUGCGAAGAGCCUUAACCAGCAUCUGGUUAGUUGUCCCAAGAGACUUUAUUUUCUUCCAGGAUGCAAUGACUGAUAAGGGAACUGACAAAACGCAGAAAAGAAGGAAAAGAAAUGUUACUGUAUUUCAGUAUGUAUUUUGAA
Molecule: RNA transcript, 8050 nt
Organism: Phragmites australis (common reed)
Lineage: Eukaryota; Viridiplantae; Streptophyta; Magnoliopsida; Poales; Poaceae
Exons: 8
Source: RefSeq, a predicted model, not a curated record